This 258-nucleotide unclassified non-coding RNA is filed under the name Hevea brasiliensis (rubber tree). Lineage: Eukaryota; Viridiplantae; Streptophyta; Magnoliopsida; Malpighiales; Euphorbiaceae. The record is from RNAcentral.
UGAGCCUUUAAUAACUAUGGUUGACAUGCGGAUUAGGUAAAUGUUCACUGAUGCAAAUCAAUAACCAAAAUUAUGUCGUUGUAACUCCUGCAGUUAUUGUAAAUCUAUGAAAUUUGUAUAUCCUAGUCAUUUUGCAGGUAAUGAAACAAAAUUGACAUUUCAAAAUGAUCAUUGUAAGAAAUUAAGCACUAUUUUUUUUUUGAUGUGCUAAAUUUAUUUGAUUUGCUUUUCAAUGCCUAAACAAAUUCCCAAUUAAAG